RNAcentral lists this ribosomal RNA (253 nucleotides) under uncultured bacterium. RNAcentral describes it as "partial 16S ribosomal RNA". It matches the Rfam family "Bacterial small subunit ribosomal RNA", at positions 524 to 776 of the family's 1533-position model. The record is from RNAcentral.
GACAGAGGGGGCAAGCGUUGCUCGGAAUUACUGGGCGUAAAGGGCGCGUAGGCGGGAUGGCAAGUCGGUCGUGAAAUCCCUCGGCUCAACCGAGGAACGUCGAUCGAUACUGCUGUUCUUGAGGAUUGCAGAGGAGACUGGAAUUCCCGGUGUAGCGGUGAAAUGUGUAGAGAUCGGGAGGAGCACCGGUGGCGAAGGCGGGUCUCUGGGCCGUAACUGACGCUGAGGAGCGAAAGCAUGGGGAGCGAACAGG